RNAcentral lists this ribosomal RNA (403 nucleotides) under uncultured bacterium. RNAcentral describes it as "partial 16S ribosomal RNA". It matches the Rfam family "Bacterial small subunit ribosomal RNA", at positions 28 to 526 of the family's 1533-position model. The record is from RNAcentral.
GACGAACGCUGGCGGCGUGCCUAAUACAUGCAAGUCGAACGCAGUGGGGACGGGUGAUUAACACGUGGGUAACCUCCCAUCAGAGGGGAUAACACUUGGAAACAGGUGCUAAACUGCUACUGAUGGAUGGACCCGCGGUGCUUUAGCUAGUUGGUGAGGUAACGGCUCACCAAGGCCACGAUGCAUAGCCGGCCUGAGAGGGGGAUCGGCCACACUGGAACUGAGACACGGCCCAGACUCCUACGGGAGGCAGCAGUAGGGAAUCUUCGGCAAUGGACGAAAGUCUGACCGAGCAACGCCGCGUGAGUGAAGAAGGUUUUCGGAUCGUAAAACUCUGUUGGUGGAGAAGCGGUAUCUAACCAGAAAGCCACGGCUAACUACGUGCCAGCCGCCGCGGUAAUAC